RNAcentral lists this ribosomal RNA (425 nucleotides) under uncultured bacterium. RNAcentral's name for it is "partial 16S ribosomal RNA". It matches the Rfam family "Bacterial small subunit ribosomal RNA", at positions 354 to 796 of the family's 1533-position model. The record is from RNAcentral.
GUGGGGAAUCUUGCGCAAUGGGCGAAAGCCUGACGCAGCCAUGCCGCGUGAAUGAUGAAGGUCUUAGGAUUGUAAAAUUCUUUCACCGGGGACGAUAAUGACGGUACCCGGAGAAGAAGCCCCGGCUACCUUCGUGCCAGCAGCCGCGGUAAUACGAAGGGGGCUAGCGUUGCUCGGAAUUACUGGGCGUACAGGGCGCGUAGGCGGACAGUUUAGUCAGAGGUGAAAGCCCAGGGCUCAACCUUGGAAUUGCCUUUGAUACUGGCUGUCUUGAGUACGGGAGAGGUGAGUGGAACUCCGAGUGUAGAGGUGAAAUUCGUAGAUAUUCGGAAGAACACCAGUGGCGAAGGCGACUCACUGGCCCGUUACUGACGCUGAGGCGCGAAAGCGUGGGGAGCAAACAGGAUUAGAUACCCCUGUAGUCC